AAGAUACUAGUAAAACUAUUACCUUGCCUUGUCGAGGCAAAAUCGUGGGUUAAACUCCCGCGUAUCUUA
Molecule: transfer RNA, 69 nt
Filed under: Anodontostoma chacunda (Chacunda gizzard shad)
Lineage: Eukaryota; Metazoa; Chordata; Actinopteri; Clupeiformes; Clupeidae
Also listed under: 1 other name
Description: tRNA-Asp
Rfam family: tRNA
About the family: Transfer RNA (tRNA) molecules are approximately 80 nucleotides in length.
Source: RNAcentral